RNAcentral lists this ribosomal RNA (484 nucleotides) under uncultured Frigoribacterium sp. RNAcentral describes it as "bacterial SSU rRNA". It matches the Rfam family "Bacterial small subunit ribosomal RNA", at positions 116 to 614 of the family's 1533-position model. The record is from RNAcentral. Lineage: Bacteria; Bacillati; Actinomycetota; Actinomycetes; Micrococcales; Microbacteriaceae.
CGUGAGUAACCUGCCCUUGACUCUGGGAUAAGCGCUGGAAACGGCGUCUAAUACCGGAUACGAGCUUCAGCCGCAUGGCUAGGAGUUGGAAAGAAUUUCGGUCAAGGAUGGACUCGCGGCCUAUCAGCUAGUUGGUGAGGUAAUGGCUCACCAAGGCGACGACGGGUAGCCGGCCUGAGAGGGUGACCGGCCACACUGGGACUGAGACACGGCCCAGACUCCUACGGGAGGCAGCAGUGGGGAAUAUUGCACAAUGGGCGCAAGCCUGAUGCAGCAACGCCGCGUGAGGGACGACGGCCUUCGGGUUGUAAACCUCUUUUAGUAGGGAAGAAGCGAAAGUGACGGUACCUGCAGAAAAAGCACCGGCUAACUACGUGCCAGCAGCCGCGGUAAUACGUAGGGUGCAAGCGUUGUCCGGAAUUAUUGGGCGUAAAGAGCUCGUAGGCGGUUUGUCGCGUCUGCUGUGAAAUCUGGGGGCUCAACC